GCCGGGCACGGUGGCUUGUGCCUGUAAUCCCAGUGCCAGGGAGGCUGAGGCUGGCAGAUGGCUUGAGCCCGGGGGGUUCUGGGCUGCAGCGAGGUGUGCCGAGCGGGCGUCUGCAUGAAGUUUAGCAUCGAUGUGGUGGUACUGGGGGAGCCGUGGGCCACCAGGUCACCUAAGGAGGGGUGAACUGGCCACAGGUCAGAGACGGAGCAGGUCAAAGCUCCUGUGCUGAUCAGUAGCGGGAUGGCACCUGUGAACAGUCCCUGUAGCACAGCCCGGGUGAGAGAGCGGGACCCAGUUUCCU
Molecule: signal recognition particle RNA, 301 nt
Filed under: Fulmarus glacialis (Northern fulmar)
Lineage: Eukaryota; Metazoa; Chordata; Aves; Procellariiformes; Procellariidae
Description: Metazoan signal recognition particle RNA
Rfam family: Metazoan signal recognition particle RNA
About the family: The signal recognition particle (SRP) is a universally conserved ribonucleoprotein.
Source: Rfam by way of RNAcentral